RNAcentral lists this small nucleolar RNA (115 nucleotides) under Fukomys damarensis (Damara mole-rat). RNAcentral describes it as "Small nucleolar RNA SNORA33 (ENSFDAG00000004551.1)". The record is from RNAcentral. Lineage: Eukaryota; Metazoa; Chordata; Mammalia; Rodentia; Bathyergidae.
UUGCUGGUAAAAAAAGUGAAAGUAGCUGACACAAGUAAAAAGUGGCAAAAGUAAUGCCAUAUUUCAAGCCUUAAAAAUAUUGAAACCAUUAAGGUCCCUGAAAAUGCCUACAGCA